UCUCAGCAUUUUUAUUUAGCUUU
RNAcentral lists this small nuclear RNA (23 nucleotides) under Arabidopsis thaliana (thale cress). Its description in RNAcentral is "snRNA_14973". Lineage: Eukaryota; Viridiplantae; Streptophyta; Magnoliopsida; Brassicales; Brassicaceae. The record is from RNAcentral.